This 443-nucleotide ribosomal RNA is filed under the name uncultured bacterium. Its description in RNAcentral is "bacterial SSU rRNA". It matches the Rfam family "Bacterial small subunit ribosomal RNA", at positions 8 to 453 of the family's 1533-position model. The record is from RNAcentral.
AGAGUUUGAUCCUGGCUCAGAUUGAACGCUGGCGGCAUGCUUUACACAUGCAAGUCGAACGGCAGCGGGGGCUUCGGCCUGCCGGCGAGUGGCGAACGGGUGAGUAAUGCAUCGGAACGUGCCCAGUCAUGGGGGAUAACUACGCGAAAGCGUAGCUAAUACCGCAUACGCCCUGAGGGGGAAAGCGGGGGAUCGCAAGACCUCGCGUGAUUGGAGCGGCCGAUGUCGGAUUAGCUAGUUGGUGGGGUAAAGGCCUACCAAGGCGACGAUCCGUAGCGGGUCUGAGAGAAUGAUCCGCCACACUGGGACUGAGACACGGCCCAGACUCCUACGGGAGGCAGCAGUGGGGAAUUUUGGACAAUGGGGGCAACCCUGAUCCAGCCAUGCCGCGUGAGUGAAGAAGGCCUUCGGGUUGUAAAGCUCUUUCAGACGGAAAGAAAUCG